Molecule: ribosomal RNA, 253 nt
Filed under: uncultured bacterium
Lineage: Bacteria
Description: partial 16S ribosomal RNA
Rfam family: Bacterial small subunit ribosomal RNA
Source: RNAcentral
UACAGAGGGGGCAAGCGUUGUUCGGAAUUACUGGGCGUCACGGGCGCGUAGGCGGCCCGCUAAGUCGAACGUGAAAUCCCCGGGCUCAACCCGGGAACUGCGUCCGAUACUGGUGGGCUCGAAUCCGGGAGAGGGAUGCGGAAUUCCAGGUGUAGCGGUGAAAUGCGUAGAUAUCUGGAGGAACAUCAGUGGCGAAAGCGGCUUCCUGGACCAGAACUGACGAUCAGGCACGAAAGCGUGGGGAGCAAACAGG